This is a long non-coding RNA of Anarrhichthys ocellatus (wolf-eel), 842 nucleotides long. RefSeq lists it as uncharacterized. The record is from RefSeq and is a predicted model, not a curated record. Lineage: Eukaryota; Metazoa; Chordata; Actinopteri; Perciformes; Anarhichadidae. The transcript has 5 exons.
AUAAUAAAAAUACUACUGAUACUACUGCUACCACUACUAGUCAUGUUUUCUUCUUCAAUCGUGUUUUGAUGUCUUCUCGUAGGAACCAUCUCAGAAACAGAUCUCAGUCGCUCGGAAGAAGUUUGACUUCUACGACAAGGACGGGAGCGGCUCAGUUAGAAGAGAAGAUCUGAAGAACGUCUUCACAGAUCUGUUCCCCAGUCUGAACAAGAACAUGUUGGAGCGCUUCAUUACUGAUGAGCUCAGAGCUGCAGACCAGAGCUUCUCCACCACUGUAGACUUCCAGGUGUUUGUGGGAUUCUACAAGCGUCUCUUCUCCCAGUGCAGAGCUGUGGUGGUUCAGGACUCUGAAGGUGUUCUUCCUGAGGAGAAGAUCAGCUCCGUCAGUAAGGUGAGUUUAGUUCACCUGGAGAAGGUCUGAAAGAUCUCUGUGUGUCACCAAGGAUGAGUAAAACACCCCACCCUCCUGUUCCCUCUCAGGCCAACACCGUUAGCAUUGUUAGCACCGUUAGCACCGUUAGCUAUGAGCCGCCGGCUCUCUGUCGCCAUGUUGAGAGCUGUUUAGAGACAAUCAAAAUGCUUCCAAUUUCAUAUUAAUGCACCGUCCAUCUUUUCUUCUUCCACUUUAUUGAAAACAGUAGUUCAAAUAAGCGUAUAUAGAACUUGAUAUUAGUUAAUUAUGAACAACUAAAUAACUAUUAUUUAGUGCUGGGCAAGUUAACGCGCUAUUAUCACGUUAACACAUUAAUUAAUUAACGCCGACAAUUAUUUUAUCACGCGUUAACGCAUUUUUUUUUUAUUACAGGUUUAAUGUCAGUACUUCAUUUAUAACAUCACAGGUU